UGACGGGUAACUCAGUCGGUUAGAGUGUCGCUCUGUUAAAGCGAAAGUCGCGGGUUCAAGUCCCGCUCCGUCAGCCA
This 77-nucleotide transfer RNA is filed under the name Acidobacteriota bacterium. RNAcentral describes it as "tRNA-Asn". It matches the Rfam family "tRNA". From Rfam's summary of the family: Transfer RNA (tRNA) molecules are approximately 80 nucleotides in length. Their secondary structure includes four short double-helical elements and three loops (D, anti-codon, and T loops). Lineage: Bacteria; Pseudomonadati; Acidobacteriota. The record is from RNAcentral.